RNAcentral lists this unclassified non-coding RNA (323 nucleotides) under uncultured fungus. RNAcentral describes it as "partial contains small subunit ribosomal RNA, internal transcribed spacer 1, and 5.8S ribosomal RNA". The stretch from base 1 to 73 matches the Rfam family "Eukaryotic small subunit ribosomal RNA", at positions 1759 to 1831 of the family's 1831-position model. The record is from RNAcentral. Lineage: Eukaryota; Fungi.
ACAAACUUGGUCAUUUAGAGGAAGUAAAAGUCGUAACAAGGUCUCCGUUGGUGAACCAGCGGAGGGAUCAUUACAAGAAGUCGAAAGGCUGCUUAAAACCAUCGCGAACCUAUCCAUCAGCGUUGCUUCGGCGGGAGGAGGCCGCGGGGCCGGCGUCUGCCGGGCCCGGGGCCGGGGACCCGCACCCCCUCGGGGCUGCGGGUCCCGCCGGCCGGAGGUAAGGAACUCUUCUGCAUCUUAGUGGAAUCUCUGAGUAAGCAAGCAAAUAAGUCAAAACUUUCAACAACGGAUCUCUUGGUUCUGGCAUCGAUGAAGAACGCAGC